Molecule: long non-coding RNA, 354 nt
Organism: Gadus chalcogrammus (walleye pollock)
Lineage: Eukaryota; Metazoa; Chordata; Actinopteri; Gadiformes; Gadidae
Exons: 3
Source: RefSeq, a predicted model, not a curated record
UCCGGGAUCCCGGUGCCACACUCUCUCACCGGGUGGUGUGUUCACUUCAUACACUUUCUUUCUCACCGGGUGGUGUCGUCAUUAGAGAGCAAUAAACCAUACGAUCGAAUCAACUGAACAAUAAACCAUGAAUAAAGGCAACAUUUCAAUGGCUUGUGUGUGUGUGUAUGUGUUUUUCUCUGUGGCCCUCCUCUGUGAAGCCCUGCCCACUCCUCCACCGGGCACCAAUCCAAACAGGGCUGUACUGAUGCGCCAACGCUCCUGCCCUGAAGGCCUGUACCCGUCAGCGAGCCUGUGCUGCCUCAACUGCCCCGCUGGCGAACACCAGGUCUCCCCGUGCUCCAGCGACCGGGG